Molecule: long non-coding RNA, 1805 nt
Organism: Homarus americanus (American lobster)
Lineage: Eukaryota; Metazoa; Arthropoda; Malacostraca; Decapoda; Nephropidae
Exons: 3
Source: RefSeq, a predicted model, not a curated record
UGUCUGUUCGUAUGUCAUCACGCGGGAGGUUCAGCCAGAGCUCAGUCACCCAGAUGUAAAAGAUAAGCACGUACACCGACCUAACUGCUCACUCUCCCGGGGGUUAACCCUCAGGUCACCACUAACCAUGGGGUUGAACCAGUCGUUCCUCUCCCCAUGGUGCCAUUUUUUUUUUUGGCAAUGAUGGGGUGGAUCAGAGAACAUCCCACUAUGAAGCUUUGAUGACCUGUUUCCUGCCUCAAAGUGGGUCUAUGAAACGUAGCUACCUGAGCAUAACCUGUGAUGAAGGAAUCAGCAAGAGUCGCCCCACCUAACUCACUGCUCUCAUGGUUCACGAUAUUUAUGUGUGGUGCAUUGUUUACUGAACUGAGAGCGAAGACAUUUUUGUAAAAUUCAUUAAUGUUGAUGAGAAACUAGUUAUAUAUUUUUACUUUGUACCAUAAGAGAUACCUGUAUAAGGUAUUUGUGUGUGUAGUUUUCUGAAUUAACUGGUUCCAAAUUUCCAGGUUUAAAAGGUUUGAGAACCACUGUCUAAGACUACUGUGUGGUUGAGGCUACAUUGAGGUAACAUUGUUUAUGCUUGUGUUGGCUACUGUGUGAAUCAACAUGGUUGGUGUAUGGUGCAGUAUGUGUAUGGUAGUAUAGGCUACUGUGUAGUCGUGGUUACAUAGUGUAUUGUAACGGAUGUUUGGUGUAUGGUUUUACAUGUAUGGAUUAUAGUAGUAGAUGGUGUAUGGUAAUUUAUGUUAAUUAAUGGUUGGACUAAAGGGAUAUAUGAUAAAAUAGGUUAAUGUGUGGAUUAAGCUAAAAGGUGUAUGGUAGUACAUAUAAGGUAGUGCAUGUUAAUAUACUGUAUAGUUGAUGUUACAUGGUGCACGGAAGUGAAUGUUGCAGUAUGGUUGAUGCUAUUACGUGUAUGGUAGUGUAUGUUAUUGCAUGAUCAAAGCUAUAAAGUGUAUGGUAGAUGGUGUAUGGUAGUGUAGUUACUGUAUGAUUGAAGCUAUAAAGUGUAUGGUAAACAUGUGGUGUGUAUGGCAGCAGUAGUGGGGUGUGGCCUCCUUGAUGGCGUGUGUGUGUGUUGCCACGGUUUCACUGCCGGGAGAGAACGCUUCACAAACUUUCUGACUAUUACUCAUUCCGUAGCGGUAAUAACAGGAGGCAGUGAGCGCUGUGAUCGCUGGCUGGGUAGCACAAAGAGACGCACAGUGUGCGUGAGUGUGUGUUCAAACGUGCGUUCGUGUGUUGGUUCUUUCUGUAAAGUAGGAUGUGACACACUUACGGGUGUGAUUCACAGUGCAACGCUGCCACACUUUUACUACGCUACUCUACAGUGGUGCCGACUAGUGUGCGUCUUCUGCUGGGAAUUGCGUAACCUUGUAAAACAGGGACCCCCAAUAAUAAUUGCUCGUGUUCCACUUUCCUUAGUGGUGUCCCCCAGCAGGAAUGUAUCUCUGACGUGUAUUACUGUCUCAACACAACAACAACAACAAGAACACCCUUGCCUCCUGCUGUCGAUUCUUCUAAGCAAGUCACAUAUAAUGUGCUGCCGGAAAUUUAUCUUGGUGUGUGUGUGUGUGUGUGUGUGUGUGUGUGUGUGUGUGUGUGUGUGUGUGUGUGUGACACCCACGGCGAUAAAACUUGCCCGCUGGCCGGUAAGUCAACCACCACACACUAACCUAUAUACAGUAUAUCUGGUGGACCAUACCUGCCUCUACACCUACACGCACCUGUUGUAGGUUGUUAACUAAUGUGCAGUGUACAAUGUAGUGUAAAUAUAACUGAUACUCACACACCCACAACCGCAU